UACAGAGGGUGCAAGCGUUGUUCGGAGUUACUGGGCGUAAAGGGUGUGUAGGCGGUUCUUUAAGUUUGGUGUGAAAUCUCCCGGCUCAACCGGGAGGGUGCGCCGAAUACUGAGGGACUUGGAGUGCGGGAGAGGAAAGUGGAAUUCCUGGUGUAGCGGUGAAAUGCGUAGAUAUCAGGAGGAACACCGGUGGUGUAGACGGCUUUCUGGACCGUAACUGACGCUGAGACACGAAA
This 236-nucleotide ribosomal RNA is filed under the name uncultured prokaryote. RNAcentral describes it as "partial 16S ribosomal RNA". It matches the Rfam family "Bacterial small subunit ribosomal RNA", at positions 524 to 758 of the family's 1533-position model. The record is from RNAcentral.